CUGAAUUCCUCGGAGCUGUGGAUUUGGAGUUGGGGGCAGACUGGACGGGAGGUCAGCUGACCACCCAGAACAAGAUCUUGUGAGGACUACCUGAUGAACCAGCGCUCAUCUCUGAGCACGGUCAGCGGGUCUGGGAAGACCGUCUAUUCUCCUGGAGUUGAACAAGCGCUCUUAGAGCAAUUUGGUCAGGAGAACAUGGUGCUGUGACUCUGGGUGUUUUCUGCCAGCAUGUCAAGGAAGAUUUGAUCCCUCUUCUUAUCAAAGAGAGAAUAGUUUUGGAGUAAGAGGGACAAAAA
Long non-coding RNA from Erinaceus europaeus (western European hedgehog), 296 nucleotides. RefSeq lists it as uncharacterized. NCBI's taxonomy places the organism in Eukaryota, Metazoa, Chordata, Mammalia, Eulipotyphla, Erinaceidae. The transcript has 3 exons. The record is from RefSeq and is a predicted model, not a curated record.